RNAcentral lists this ribosomal RNA (431 nucleotides) under uncultured bacterium. RNAcentral describes it as "partial 16S ribosomal RNA". It matches the Rfam family "Bacterial small subunit ribosomal RNA", at positions 29 to 507 of the family's 1533-position model. The record is from RNAcentral.
AACGAACGCUGGCGGCAGGCUUAACACAUGCAAGUCGAGCGCCCCGCAAGGGGAGCGGCAGACGGGUGAGUAACGCGUGGGAACGUACCUUUUGGUUCGGAACAACUCCGAGAAACUGGAGCUAAUACCGGAUAAGCCCUAACGGGGAAAGAUUUAUCGCCGAAAGAUCGGCCCGCGUCUGAUUAGCUAGUUGGUGAGGUAACGGCUCACCAAGGCGACGAUCAGUAGCUGGUCUGAGAGGAUGAUCAGCCACACUGGGACUGAGACACGGCCCAGACUCCUACGGGAGGCAGCAGUGGGGAAUAUUGGACAAUGGGCGCAAGCCUGAUCCAGCCAUGCCGCGUGAGUGAUGAAGGCCUUAGGGUUGUAAAGCUCUUUUGUCCGGGAAGAUAAUGACUGUACCGGAAGAAUAAGCCCCGGCUAACUUCGUG